UCUGAGUUCUAUGGCACUCAUUGUGAGUACCGGGACUUUAGCCGGAAGGAUUUAAGAACCGUUCCACUUCCGGUAACGCCGGAAGCAGUUCCAAGAUGGCGACCUCCAUAGCGCCUGGGAAGAGUGGAUUUCGUAACCAGAAGCAGAAGAACCGAGAUGAGUCAGAGCUCCUCACUGUACCUGAUGGUUGGGGGGAUCCAGCUUUUUCCAGAGGACAAACGCAGAGGACUCUUGGGAAGCAGUUUUGCAUCUCUGUUCCCAAAUACAGAGAUUGGCAAAAGUAGGCUCACGGUUUUCAUAUGGAAAAAGACAUGCAGCAUGUUAAUGCAACCCUGGACCUGAUCAAGGGCCUCAUGACUGUACAACAAAGAAGACUUUUGAUCCAUACAUCAUCACUAGGGUCAGAGACCUAAUAAAACUAUUAGCAAGGAGUGUUUCAUUUGAGCAGGCAGUAUGAAUUCUUCAGAAUGGGGUUGCAUGCGAUAUCAUUAAGUUGUUUAGUAAGAAGUAAAAAAAGAUUUGUAAAAAGAGGAUCAUGGCUUAUUGGUCCCAAAGGAUCUACAGUGAAGGCAUUGGAACUCUUAACAAACUGUUGAAUUAUGGUUCAAAGAAACACGGUAUCAGCCAUUGGACUUUUUAGUGUCUUUAAAGAGCUUCUAUUGAAACUAAAAUUGACGUGGCUGCCAUCAAGGAAAAGGUUAAGAAAGCAAAGAUUAAGAAACUGUGAGCUCUCACAGCUGAAGAAGUUAAGCUUAAGAUGGAAGCAGAUGAGAAGAAAGAAAAGUAAUACACACACACACAUACACACACAACCUGAACUAGAACCUACUAAGCUAUCUCUUUUUAUAAAGGACUUUGAGAUACUAGGGCAUUAGUUGUCUUAUGUGUAAGAAGUAAUAUUCUAAUUAUUUUUUUUCUGAAUGUGUUUUUCUUUAUGAGAGUAUUUAUAUGUAUGGCUAUUCUUUAUAAAUAUAAAUUAUUGUAUUCUC
Molecule: long non-coding RNA, 989 nt
Organism: Myotis myotis
Lineage: Eukaryota; Metazoa; Chordata; Mammalia; Chiroptera; Vespertilionidae
Exons: 6
Source: RefSeq, a predicted model, not a curated record